Long non-coding RNA from Engraulis encrasicolus (European anchovy), 524 nucleotides. RefSeq lists it as uncharacterized. The transcript is spliced from 3 exons. The record is from RefSeq and is a predicted model, not a curated record. NCBI's taxonomy places the organism in Eukaryota, Metazoa, Chordata, Actinopteri, Clupeiformes, Engraulidae.
GUUUUCCAUUGCUGUUCCUUGCUCCUGUAUCACAACAUAUCAAGGCUGCCAAGUAAAUGAAGAAUGAAUCACCGCACACUGGUCAACAGCAGACAGGGUCCUUCCACAACCACAUACUUAUGCCAGUAAAAGCCACAGCUUUUCUCCUCCAAUCCAAGAAGCCUAGACUGCAGUCACCAUCUCAACACACCAACCAAGAGAAAGGCGGAUGGCUCAAUUCAAUAUGGAAAAUUGCACAAUAAAAGUUCCAGGACAUGAAGGCUGCAUACUGUGAACGUCAACCUUCAGGGCACCGUCCUGCGCAGAAGACUUUCUACCCUAAGAGGGAUGGCUGACCGCAGACACUCACAACCAGGUGAGCCCAGAUAAAGGAGUUAUUUUUGGUGUCCCUGCCCCAACAACCCAGGUUACUUACAUUUAAAAUGUCACUGGAGCUACUGUCAGAUAUGUGAUUUCUAAUUCUGUUUAUCUUUUUACAGCACAGACGCCUCCAACCUCAGACUAGGCCCUUCACAGUUGCUGCU